UACGAGGGGGGCUAGCGUUGCUCGGAAUUACUGGGCGUAAAGGGCGCGUAGGCGGCACUGUUAGUCAGGCGUGAAAUUCCUGGGCUCAACCUGGGGACUGCGCUUGAUACGGCAGAGCUAGAGGAUGGAAGAGGCUCGCGGAAUUCCCAGUGUAGAGGUGAAAUUCGUAGAUAUUGGGAAGAACACCGGUGGCGAAGGCGGCGAGCUGGUCCAUUACUGACGCUGAGGCGCGACAGCGUGGGGAGCAAACAGG
Molecule: ribosomal RNA, 253 nt
Filed under: uncultured bacterium
Lineage: Bacteria
Description: partial 16S ribosomal RNA
Rfam family: Bacterial small subunit ribosomal RNA
Source: RNAcentral